CAAGGGGCAAGUUUUCUGGACUUGCCUAGACCUUAUAGCAGAUUAAGUACUUUUAUUUCACUGAACAAAGUUUAGAGAUCAUUUUACAUCACUGAACAAAGUUUAGAGAUUUGGAGAGUAUUUGUUUUUAAUUUCUAUGGAUCUGCUUAUACUUCUCUUUUGCAAAUUGAAACACCGUGGAAGAUUUUUUGGAACUUAGGUUGAGAGUUGUACAUGGCUUCAGAGUUGCUGUGGAUUUCUAUCUCCAUGGGGCCAUCUGUCUCAUCUGUCUAUAUAAUGGUCAUGCACUUUGCAGAGCCUGCUUCAAUGUCUGCUAUACUAUGGCCACUCUGCCAGUGUUGUUGACAAACAGAUGGGUUUUGAUGGCAGAGAAACUUAUAUUUAGCAAGUCUUCCUUUUGCCCUUGAACUUUUCCACCUGUUGUUUGCACCAGCAACUCCCAUGGCAAAUGUGAAAAAGCAAAAAAUAAGGAAUAUUACAAGAUGGGACUAACAUUAAAAUGUAUGUUUUCAUCAAACAUGAUCAAGAACCUACCGAUGAUUGAAGAUUGAUUCUGAGUAAUCAGCACAGAUUUCUAAAAGAAACUUUAUGGGAUGCUGAGACAUGAAUAAAAACAACUUUAUUCCUUUGGAAAGGACAACCCACAUGCUAAGAAGAUGACACUACACGUUGUUAUAGCCCGAAAGGCCCUCUUUCCACAGGGGAGCAGUGAAAAGUAGAGGUUGCCCAUGUGGAUUCCCAAGUCAGAUAGAUGUGGAUUCAGAUCCCAGCUCUGCUGCUUGCUACCCAAGAGACCAUGGACUGUGGACUCUUUAGGUCUCAGGGUUUUUGUUUGUUGUCUGUUUUUCACUUCCAAAACCAGAAAAUGAGAAGAUAUUUUCCAUAAGAUGGCGGUGCACAUCCACUGUGGGGCUUGGCCUCAAUCCCCUAGAUGUCUUCAAUAUAAUCUUCAAUUGUCAGGAGAAGAGAACUUGAUGGACCUUGCUUGGACAAAAUGCCUUCACCGCUAACUCAGUCAGCUAUGGCGAUGGGUCAAGGACCUGGUGGUUUUACAGAGAAGACCCUUGGUCAAAUCUUUGUGAAUGAAGCAACCAUUCUGAUGUUCAAUAACAGGAAUGCACCAGUUUAUACCAAACUAUCUGUACUAUUGAGAACAGCAAAAAUAUCUGACCAAAAACACCAAAGAGUGACAUUUUAAAAGACAUCAAAGAACUCUCAAGGCUUCCAGAGUUGGAAAGAUCAAGAAAGAGAGAAUGCAACUUCAUUAAGUGACUCAACUCCAAAUAGGAGCAUUUCAAGAGUAUGUAUUUCAACAAAGAAGUAUUAGAAGAUGACAGUGUCCUUGCAGUAUCUUUUAGGGGCUAUCAGAACAUGAUUUCUGCUAUAUUCUAUCAUCGGAGCCUUAAUAAUGUUAACUAUAAUUCAAGGGAAGAUCAAAUAAACUUCACCUUUCAAGGAAA
Homo sapiens (human) is the source of this 1460-nucleotide long non-coding RNA. Ensembl annotates it as long intergenic non-protein coding RNA 2347. The record is from Ensembl. NCBI's taxonomy places the organism in Eukaryota, Metazoa, Chordata, Mammalia, Primates, Hominidae.